GGCUUGCUCAGUGUAUGGCAUAUAUACACUGCAUGGUACGAAAAGCCUUUAGCUUUCAAUUCAACGUAACCGUCGAACGAUAGCGACUGAGCAGAGGCAUUGGCAGAGAAGAAAACUAGCAGCACACUCCGAAAUCGACAACAUUCGUUGACUAAGCGUCACGUUGAAAGGACUUGAAAAGGACUUGCAGUCGCACGAACAAACCAACAGCGCCAAACGAAUCAUUACUCGUCGAUUAAUUGGUUCCUUUGGUAUACCAGUCGAAGUACAAAGUUUCACUUGACGUCGUCAGGUCAAUCCAGAAGUUUGAAACGUUGGACGUGCUAAACGAAAACAAAAACCUACCCACACAAAAAAACCAACACAAUGAAUUACUACUGCGUGCUGUUUAUAUUUUUCACAAUUUGUUCUACAAUUAUGUUCCUUGCACCAUCCACGAUGGCAAAUUAUAUUGACGUACCGCCAGAGGACGAAGUAAAUUACCCAUCAUCCUACGUAGACGAUGUGCUACAACCAGCUCAAAAACGGUCUUCACUAAUUUAUGUUUUUAGGCGUGCAUGCGUGCGCCGAGGUGGAAAUUGCGAUCACAGACCCAAUGAAUG
This is a long non-coding RNA of Sitodiplosis mosellana (orange wheat blossom midge), 602 nucleotides long. RefSeq lists it as uncharacterized. Lineage: Eukaryota; Metazoa; Arthropoda; Insecta; Diptera; Cecidomyiidae. The transcript is spliced from 4 exons. The record is from RefSeq and is a predicted model, not a curated record.